This 73-nucleotide transfer RNA is filed under the name Cordylochernes scorpioides. RNAcentral's name for it is "tRNA-Val". The record is from RNAcentral. Lineage: Eukaryota; Metazoa; Arthropoda; Arachnida; Pseudoscorpiones; Chernetidae.
UGUUCCCGCACAGGAUCGAACCGGGGACCCUGUGCGUGUGAAGCACACGUGAUAACCGCUACAUCACACAAAC